Ursus americanus (American black bear) is the source of this 337-nucleotide unclassified non-coding RNA. Its record names the gene 7SK. It matches the Rfam family "7SK RNA". From Rfam's summary of the family: 7SK was discovered as an abundant small nuclear RNA in the mid-70s but a possible function has only recently been suggested. Two independent studies have found that 7SK RNA binds the CDK9/cyclin T complex (known as elongation factor P-TEFb). The record is from Ensembl. Lineage: Eukaryota; Metazoa; Chordata; Mammalia; Carnivora; Ursidae.
GGCUAUGAGGGCAAUCUGACAGUGACAUCUGUAGUCCCAUUGAUCGCCAGAGUUGAUGCGGCUGAUUUGGCUGGCUAGGCAGGUGUUCCAUUCCUCCCUCACCGCUCCCUGUGCAUCCUUUCCCAAGCUGUGCUCUCAUCCUUGGUGGGUGAGGAUGACCUCCCGCAAUAGAGGAGGCUCAUUCUUUGGUCAAGGGUCUAUGUAUAUCUCUGCUUCCCUGCUAGAACCUCCAAACAAGCUCUCAAGGUCCACUUGUAGAAAAACAUAGGAUAAUCAAGCUUCUGAGACUCCAGAUACAUCCAAAUGAGGCAUGGCAUAUGGCAGUCUGCCUUUCUUU